RNAcentral lists this ribosomal RNA (253 nucleotides) under uncultured bacterium. RNAcentral describes it as "partial 16S ribosomal RNA". It matches the Rfam family "Bacterial small subunit ribosomal RNA", at positions 524 to 776 of the family's 1533-position model. The record is from RNAcentral.
GACAGAGGGGGCAAGCGUUGCUCGGAAUCACUGGGCGUAAAGGGCGCGUAGGCGGGAUGGCAAGUCGGUCGUGAAAUCCUUCGGCUCAACCGAAGAACGUCGGCCGAUAAUGCCGUUCUUGAGGGAUGCAGAGGAGAUUGGAAUUCCCGGUGUAGCGGUGAAAUGUGUAGAGAUCGGGAGGAACACCGGUGGCGAAGGCGGGUCUCUGGGCAUCUCCUGACGCUGAGGCGCGAAAGCGUGGGGAGCAAACGGG